RNAcentral lists this ribosomal RNA (460 nucleotides) under uncultured bacterium. RNAcentral's name for it is "partial 16S ribosomal RNA". It matches the Rfam family "Bacterial small subunit ribosomal RNA", at positions 338 to 795 of the family's 1533-position model. The record is from RNAcentral.
CCUACGGGAGGCUGCAGUGAGGAAUAUUGGUCAAUGGACGAGAGUCUGAACCAGCCAAGUAGCGUGAAGGAUGACUGCCCUAUGGGUUGUAAACUUCUUUUAUAUGGGAAUAAAAUGUUCCACGUGUGGGAUUUUGUAUGUACCAUAUGAAUAAGGAUCGGCUAACUCCGUGCCAGCAGCCGCGGUAAUACGGAGGAUCCGAGCGUUAUCCGGAUUUAUUGGGUUUAAAGGGAGCGUAGGUGGAUUGGUAAGUCAGUUGUGAAAGUUUGCGGCUCAACCGUAAAAUUGCAGUUGAAACUGGCAGUCUUGAGUACAGUAGAGGUGGGCGGAAUUCGUGGUGUAGCGGUGAAAUGCUUAGAUAUCACGAAGAACUCCGAUUGCGAAGGCAGCUCACUGGACUGCAACUGACACUGAGGCUCGAAAGUGUGGGUAUCGAACAGGAUUAGAUACCCUUGUAGUG